This 1057-nucleotide ribosomal RNA is filed under the name Penicillium olsonii. Its description in RNAcentral is "SSU rRNA". It matches the Rfam family "Eukaryotic small subunit ribosomal RNA", at positions 54 to 1121 of the family's 1831-position model. Lineage: Eukaryota; Fungi; Ascomycota; Eurotiomycetes; Eurotiales; Aspergillaceae. The record is from RNAcentral.
CAUGUCUAAGUAUAAGCAACUUGUACUGUGAAACUGCGAAUGGCUCAUUAAAUCAGUUAUCGUUUAUUUGAUAGUACCUUACUACAUGGAUACCUGUGGUAAUUCUAGAGCUAAUACAUGCUAAAAACCCCGACUCACGAAGGGGUGUAUUUAUUAGAUAAAAAACCAACGCCCUUCGGGGCUCCUUGGUGAAUCAUAAUAACUUAACGAAUCGCAUGGCCUUGCGCCGGCGAUGGUUCAUUCAAAUUUCUGCCCUAUCAACUUUCGAUGGUAGGAUAGUGGCCUACCAUGGUGGCAACGGGUAACGGGGAAUUAGGGUUCGAUUCCGGAGAGGGAGCCUGAGAAACGGCUACCACAUCCAAGGAAGGCAGCAGGCGCGCAAAUUACCCAAUCCCGAUACGGGGAGGUAGUGACAAUAAAUACUGAUACGGGGCUCUUUUGGGUCUCGUAAUUGGAAUGAGAACAAUUUAAAUCCCUUAACGAGGAACAAUUGGAGGGCAAGUCUGGUGCCAGCAGCCGCGGUAAUUCCAGCUCCAAUAGCGUAUAUUAAAGUUGUUGCAGUUAAAAAGCUCGUAGUUGAACCUUGGGCCUGGCUGGUCGGUCCGCCUCACCGCGAGUACUGAUCCGGCUGGGCCUUUCCUUCUGGGGAACCUCAUGGCCUUCACUGGCUGUGGGGGGAACCAGGACUUUUACUGUGAAAAAAUUAGAGUGUUCAAAGCAGGCCUUUGCUCGAAUACAUUAGCAUGGAAUAAUAGAAUAGGACGUGCGGUUCUAUUUUGUUGGUUUCUAGGACCGCCGUAAUGAUUAAUAGGGAUAGUCGGGGGCGUCAGUAUUCAGCUGUCAGAGGUGAAAUUCUUGGAUUUGCUGAAGACUAACUACUGCGAAAGCAUUCGCCAAGGAUGUUUUCAUUAAUCAGGGAACGAAAGUUAGGGGAUCGAAGACGAUCAGAUACCGUCGUAGUCUUAACCAUAAACUAUGCCGACUAGGGAUCGGACGGGAUUCUAUAAUGACCCGUUCGGCACCUUACGAGAAAUCAAANUUUUUNGNUUNNUNGGGG